This 311-nucleotide small nucleolar RNA is filed under the name Sinocyclocheilus anshuiensis. The record is from RNAcentral. Lineage: Eukaryota; Metazoa; Chordata; Actinopteri; Cypriniformes; Cyprinidae.
GCCCAAUGAUGAGACCAAGGCGAAUGUGAGCUUGUUGGGUAAGAGUCUGAGCUCUUCUGUGCUCCUAUUGGCUGGUAAUCUUGGCUGGGCAGGGGAGAUUUGCUGCUUUGCUGUAAGGGCCAGCCAACAUAAAGCGAGUUCUUCCUAUCAAGCUCUUCCUCAGAGAAAUGAAGGAGAGAUUUGGGAUGGAUGAUCAUUGUGUGUGUGUGUGUGUGUGUGUGUGUGUGUGUGUGGGUGUGGACACAGGUCGAAACUCAGUUCUCUGUAAUGUCCAAUGAGCUAUGAGCUAGUUCUUUUGUAAUCUGAGGGCG